RNAcentral lists this transfer RNA (70 nucleotides) under Mus musculus (house mouse). Its description in RNAcentral is "tRNA-Ser". The record is from RNAcentral. Lineage: Eukaryota; Metazoa; Chordata; Mammalia; Rodentia; Muridae.
GAGAUGGCUCAGUGGUUAAGAGCACUGACUGCUCUUCCAGAGGUCCUGAGUUCAAUUCCCAGCAACCACG